RNAcentral lists this unclassified non-coding RNA (144 nucleotides) under uncultured fungus. RNAcentral describes it as "sequence contains ITS1, 5.8S rRNA gene". Lineage: Eukaryota; Fungi. The record is from RNAcentral.
UAAUAAGUGUUUUAUGGCACUUUUUAAAUCCAUAUCCACCUUGUGUGCAAUGUCAGUUGAUCUUCUUUAUGGAGAUCGACCAAACAUCAACCUAAUUUUUUAACUCUUUGUCUGAAAAAUAUUAUGAAUAAAUAAUUCAAAAUA